This 279-nucleotide ribosomal RNA is filed under the name uncultured bacterium. RNAcentral's name for it is "partial 16S ribosomal RNA". It matches the Rfam family "Bacterial small subunit ribosomal RNA", at positions 28 to 301 of the family's 1533-position model. The record is from RNAcentral.
GACGAACGCUGGCGGCGUGCCUAAUACAUGCAAGUAGAACGCUGAAGGAGGAGCUUGCUUCUCCGGAUGAGUUGCGAACGGGUGAGUAACGCGUAGGUAACCUGCCUGGUAGCGGGGGAUAACUAUUGGAAACGAUAGCUAAUACCGCAUAACAGUAGAUGUUGCAUGACAUUUGCUUAAAAGGUGCAAUUGCACCACUACCAGAUGGACCUGCGUUGUANAGCUAGUUGGUGGGGUAACGGCUCACCAAGGCGACGAUACAUAGCCGACUGAGAGGGU